This 468-nucleotide ribosomal RNA is filed under the name uncultured bacterium. RNAcentral's name for it is "partial 16S ribosomal RNA". It matches the Rfam family "Bacterial small subunit ribosomal RNA", at positions 28 to 507 of the family's 1533-position model. The record is from RNAcentral.
GACGAACGCUGGCGGCGUGCUUAACACAUGCAAGUCGAACGGAAAGGCCCUGCUUUUGUGGGGUGCUCGAGUGGCGAACGGGUGAGUAACACGUGAGUAACCUGCCCUUGACUUUGGGAUAACUUCAGGAAACUGGGGCUAAUACCGGAUAGGAGCUCCUGCUGCAUGGUGGGGGUUGGAAAGUUUCGGCGGUUGGGGAUGGACUCGCGGCUUAUCAGCUUGUUGGUGGGGUAGUGGCUUACCAAGGCUUUGACGGGUAGCCGGCCUGAGAGGGUGACCGGCAACAUUGGGACUGAGAUACGGCACAGACUCCUACGGGAGGCAGAAGUGGGGAAUAUUGCACAAUGGGCGGAAGCCUGAUGCAGCAACGCCGCGUGCGGGAUGACGGCCUUCGGGUUGUAAACCGCUUUCGCCUGUGACGAAGCGUGAGUGACGGUAAUGGGUAAAGAAGCACCGGCUAACUACGUG